This 497-nucleotide ribosomal RNA is filed under the name uncultured bacterium. Its description in RNAcentral is "partial 16S ribosomal RNA". It matches the Rfam family "Bacterial small subunit ribosomal RNA", at positions 28 to 507 of the family's 1533-position model. The record is from RNAcentral.
GAUGAACGCUGGCGGCGUGCCUAAUACAUGCAAGUCGAGCGAACAGAUGAGGAGCUUGCUCCUCUGACGUUAGCGGCGGACGGGUGAGUAACACGUGGAUAACCUACCUAUAAGACUGGGAUAACUUCGGGAAACCGGAGCUAAUACCGGAUAAUAUAUUGAACCGCAUGGUUCAAUAGUGAAAGACGGUUUUGCUGUCACUUAUAGAUGGAUCCGCGCCGCAUUAGCUAGUUGGUAAGGUAACGGCUUACCAAGGCAACGAUGCGUAGCCGACCUGAGAGGGUGAUCGGCCACACGGGAACUGAGACACGGUCCAGACUCCUAAGGGAGGCAGCAGUAGGGAAUCUUCCGCAAUGGGCGAAAGCCUGACGGAGCAACGCGGCGUGAGUGAUGAAGGUCUUCGGAUCGUAAAACUCUGUUAUUAGGGAAGAACAAAUGUGUAAGUAACUAUGCACGUCUUGACGGUACCUAAUCAGAAAGCCACGGCUAACUACGUG